RNAcentral lists this ribosomal RNA (430 nucleotides) under uncultured bacterium. RNAcentral's name for it is "partial 16S ribosomal RNA". It matches the Rfam family "Bacterial small subunit ribosomal RNA", at positions 29 to 507 of the family's 1533-position model. The record is from RNAcentral.
AACGAACGCUGGCGGCAGGCCUAACACAUGCAAGUCGAACGCCCCGCCAGGGGAGUGGCAGACGGGUGAGUAACACGUGGGAACCUUCCCUAUAGUACGGAAUAGCCCAGGGAAACUUGGAGUAAUACCGUAUACGCCCGAAAGGGGAAAGAAUUUCGCUAUAGGAUGGGCCCGCGUAGGAUUAGCUAGUUGGUGAGGUAAUGGCUCACCAAGGCGACGCUCCUUAGCUGGUUUGAGAGAACGACCAGCCACACUGGGACUGAGACACGGCCCAGACUCCUACGGGAGGCAGCAGUGGGGAAUAUUGGACAAUGGGCGCAAGCAUGAUCCAGCCAGGCCGGGUGAGUGAUGAAGGCCUUAGGGUUGUAAAGCUCUUUUGGCGGGGACGAUAAUGACGGUACCCGAAGAAUAAGUCCCGGCUAACUUCGUG